Molecule: ribosomal RNA, 250 nt
Filed under: uncultured bacterium
Lineage: Bacteria
Description: partial 16S ribosomal RNA
Rfam family: Bacterial small subunit ribosomal RNA
Source: RNAcentral
GACGAACCGUGCGAACGUUGUUCGGAAUCACUGGGCUUAAAGGGCGCGUAGGCGGUUUACCAAGUCGGGGGUGAAAUCUUUCGGCUCAACCGGAAAAGGGCCUUCGAUACUGGUAGACUUGAGUGAGGUAGGGGCGGAUGGAACUUCCGGUGGAGCGGUGAAAUGUGUUGAUAUCGGAAGGAACGCCGGUGGCGAAAGCGAUCCGCUGGACCUCUUCUGACGCUGAUGCGCGAAAGCCAGGGGAGCAAAC